CUACCUUCCUUCCUUCCUUCCUUCCUUCCUUCCUUCCUUCCUUCCUUCCUUCCUUCCUUCCUUCCUUCCUUCCUUCCUUCCUGCCUUCCUUCCUGCCUUCCUUCCUGCCUUCCUGCCUGCCUGCCUUCCUGCCUGCCUGCCUUCCUGCCUGCCUUCCUUCCUGCCUGCCUUCCUGCCUUCCUUCCUGCCUUCCUGCCUGCCUUCCUUCCUGCCUUCCUUCCUGCCUUCCUGCCUUCCUGCCUUCCUGCCUUCCUUCCUGCCUGCCUCCCUCCCUGCCUCCCUGCCUCCCUGCCUGCCUCCCUCAUAAACACGGAAACACCAGGAAGCUGUUUGAGUGGAUGAGGCUGGCACGUACACUUCAGUCUGGUGACCAUCUUGAUUGGCAGCACCAUGGGAAACUCAACACUUGGAUAAAGAGCAGUGCAUAUGGUGAAUAUGGGAGACAAAUUUUGAAGCUGUAAUUCAGGUUGUCCAGCCUGUCUGUCCAUCCAGCCUGGAUCCUGGGAAGCCUGCUGGUGAAGACAUGACUCUCCAAGAGGGACUGCUGAAGUCACUUGAAGGAUGUCACACAAUGAGAUAUUCCAUGGGAGCCUGCUGCCUACGGCUGACACUUUGUUGAUAAGCCUUGUUUUUAAUUUCUCUGCUUUUCACCCCAAGGAAAUGUAAGAAUAUUUUCACACAUGUAGCGUUUCCAAGAAAAUGUUAAGGCAGCAUCAAGUAUUUGGGAGACAAAUUAAGGAAGAUUUAUACAAGACAAGCCAGUAAGAAUGAUGAGAAAAACAGUGCUGAGAGAAGAAAUAUUUCUGAGAAUUCUAGAUAUUCCCACUGUUGCUAUCAGCAAGUGGCCUAUAUUGUCACACUUGUGUGUUAAAUAAAUGCAGUGUGUUAAACA
Molecule: long non-coding RNA, 892 nt
Filed under: Cyanistes caeruleus (blue tit)
Lineage: Eukaryota; Metazoa; Chordata; Aves; Passeriformes; Paridae
Description: lncRNA (ENSCCEG00000006027.1)
Source: RNAcentral